Ictalurus punctatus (channel catfish) is the source of this 1290-nucleotide long non-coding RNA. RefSeq lists it as uncharacterized. The record is from RefSeq and is a predicted model, not a curated record. Lineage: Eukaryota; Metazoa; Chordata; Actinopteri; Siluriformes; Ictaluridae. The transcript has 4 exons.
UGUGCAUUUCCUGCUUUUUGUUAUUCGUUUUGUUUCUCUUGCUUUGUAUGUAGGAGCUAAAAGCCUCCUUUUCUUUCUCUUGCCAUAAUCACCACAUUUUGCGGCAAGUUGUCUGACUUGAGAACUGAGAUCAAGGGAUCAAGGAGCGUCAAAAACAAGUAACUUGUCUGGUGUUUAAGGUGUGCAACAAUUAUUGGCACCCUUUUAGUCAAUAGUUUGUUCUACCUCCCUUUGCCAAGAUAACAGCUCUGAGUCUUCUUCUAUAAUGACAUGAGGUUGAGAAUACAUGGCAAGGGUUCUGAGACCAUUUCUCCAUACAGAAUCUCUCCAGAUCCUUCAAAUUUCGAGGUCCAUGCUGGUGGACUAAGUAUCCACUCUGCUAAGUAUUAAAUAAAUUUCGGUUACCGUGGUCCGUACUUUUUUCCUAUGUCAUUCCACUUUAUUACACAUCACUUUAUUUAUAGACUUUAAUGUUGUGAAUUCUUUAUAUUUCUGGAUUUCUUGAGUUAAUACUGAUGACUGGUGAAAAUUUCAUGUGAAAAGCCUGAACUUUUUUUGACACGUCCAAAACUUAUUUCCCCCACUGUAUAAUUCAUUAUAAGCAUGGGCUUCAUAGAAAGUGUUACCAAACACUCUAACAGUGAUCAUUAAUGUUUCCUCCGAGUUGCUUUUCCUGCCAUAUAUUACAUAGAGUAAUCAUUUCCUUUCUUCUGCUGUAUGGACCAAUAACUACUUCGCCUGUGACAUGCUCUUAUGUUUUCAAAGCUCCUCUGAAUUGUAUGACUGUUUGUUCUGCUGCUAGGUGGGUGCACAAGGUAGCUUUCCAAAGAGGAUAUCUAUAUAAUAGCAUUUAAAAUAUUUACUGAAAUAGAUGUGAAUUACAACAUUACAAAUACAUACCUUACAAUAGUUCCUGAAUGCUAUUAAAUUAUUGUUCCUCAAUAGAAUUGAACGUUUUUCUAAAAACAGUAGCACAAAAAUCAUAUGAAUGUAAAUAUAAAAUGUUAGUUUUUAACAGGCAAUAAUAAAUUCUAAUUAAAUAUGUGCCAUUACAUUAUAUUUUGAAACAAUCGAUAUGUGAACUGCAUGUUUGUUUCAGUGGUCCAAGAGUUUGAGUGUGUUUUCUUGGGACAGCUAUGAGAAUUGGAGAAAGGUGGACUUCUGACUUGCUCAUGAAGGCAGUUUGCAUCUACACAAUGAUGUGGUACUAAGUCCUGAGGAUUUUUCCAUCCCUUCAAAUGAGUUCCUGUUUCAAGUUACACUUUAUUUCUGCAACCAGAUGAGUGCACA